This is a small nuclear RNA of Balaenoptera musculus (blue whale), 107 nucleotides long. The record is from Ensembl. Lineage: Eukaryota; Metazoa; Chordata; Mammalia; Artiodactyla; Balaenopteridae.
GUGCUCACUUCGGCAGCACAGAUACUAAAAUUGGAACAAUACAGAGAAAAUUAGCAUGGCCCCUGCGCAAGGAUGACACACAAAUUUGUGAAGCAUUCCAUAUUUUU